Molecule: long non-coding RNA, 300 nt
Organism: Saccostrea cuccullata (small rock oyster)
Lineage: Eukaryota; Metazoa; Mollusca; Bivalvia; Ostreida; Ostreidae
Exons: 3
Source: RefSeq, a predicted model, not a curated record
UAUCUUAUGUACUUCCGGAUAUUUGUAAAUAAACAUUGUCAACUGUAUUUUGAAGGAAGCAUUUCGCAAGUAGCUACAUAACAUCAUAAAAUGCAGGGCGGGCCACCCUUGCCUCCAGGAUGGGAGGCUCGAUGGGAUGCUAACCAGGGCGCUUAUUUUUUCAUUGACCACAACACUAAACAGACUACAUGGAUUGAUCCAAGAAUUAAAUUGCAAGCUAAUCAGCCCCAGCAACCUCAAUAUGGUGGACAGCAUGCUGCCGCAGCCCAGGUAUAAUUCAAUCAAUCAAUGAUUGAUUGG